UGAGUAACACGUGGGCAAUCUGCCCUGCACUUCGGGAUAAGCCUGGGAAACUGGGUCUAAUACCGGAUAGGACCUUUAGACGCAUGUCUUUUGGUGGAAAGCUUUUGCGGUGUGGGAUGGGCCCGCGGCCUAUCAGCUUGUUGGUGGGGUGAUGGCCUACCAAGGCGACGACGGGUAGCCGGCCUGAGAGGGUGUCCGGCCACACUGGGACUGAGAUACGGCCCAGACUCCUACGGGAGGCAGCAGUGGGGAAUAUUGCACAAUGGGCGCAAGCCUGAUGCAGCGACGCCGCGUGGGGGAUGACGGCCUUCGGGUUGUAAACCUCUUUCACCAUCGACGAAGGUUCGGGUUUUCUCGGAUUGACGGUAGGUGGAGAAGAAGCACCGGCCAACUACGUGCCAGCAGCCGCGGUAAUACGUAGGGUGCGAGCGUUGUCCGGAAUUACUGGGCGUAAAGAGCUCGUAGGUGGUUUGUCGCGUUGUUCGUGAAAUCUCACGGCUUAACUGUGAGCGUGCGGGCGAUACGGGCAGACUAGAGUACUGCAGGGGAGACUGGAAUUCCUGGUGUAGCGGUGGAAUGCGCAGAUAUCAGGAGGAACACCGGUGGCGAAGGCGGGUCUCUGGGCAGUAACUGACGCUGAGGAGCGAAAGCGUGGGGAGCGAACAGGAUUAGAUACCCUGGUAGUCCACGCCGUAAACGGUGGGUACUAGGUGUGGGUUUCCUUCCUUGGGAUCCGUGCCGUAGCUAACGCAUUAAGUACCCCGCCUGGGGGAGUACGGGCCGCAAGGCUAAAACUCAAAGGAAUUGACGGGGGGCCCGCACAA
Molecule: ribosomal RNA, 824 nt
Filed under: Mycobacterium sp.
Lineage: Bacteria; Bacillati; Actinomycetota; Actinomycetes; Mycobacteriales; Mycobacteriaceae
Description: bacterial SSU rRNA
Rfam family: Bacterial small subunit ribosomal RNA
Source: RNAcentral